Hyla sarda is the source of this 2175-nucleotide long non-coding RNA. RefSeq lists it as uncharacterized. The transcript is spliced from 4 exons. Lineage: Eukaryota; Metazoa; Chordata; Amphibia; Anura; Hylidae. The record is from RefSeq and is a predicted model, not a curated record.
GAAAAAGCUACAUGGUAGCGAAACAAUUGUUGCCGUGCAUUUCACCUGUGCUGAAUAAAUCCUUCAGACUGAAUCGAGUGCUUCCGUGCUGUUUUCUUCACUUCGUAUGUUGGUGGAAUUGUAUCCUGUUCGACAGAGAGCACUGUGAGUCUGCAUUCAGAUGGCCGGACGUUCAAGGUCCAGCACCAGUGGAGCCAUUCAGGGAUAAAGUAGAGAGUCUGAAGAUGUCAGGAUAGGCCUUCCAAAGAGCCGGAACCACGUCCCGCGCCUUGGCCAACAAGAGGAAGAGGCGUCAGGAUUCGUGGCCGAGGACGUGGUCUUAGUGGCGCUUGGGCCAGUCGGCGAACAUUGGAGGGGCAGGACAAGCCGGAGAUCCUUAUAGAUGAUAAUCUCCUUAUAGCUAUGGUCGAGGCUCAUCCUGCUCUGUAGGAUUUGUCCGAUCCACAUCACGCCAAGCGCCAAUACUCAAAAGCUCUUUGGAACGAGAUUUACAGUGCCAUCUGUAACACCUGGGAGUACCUGUCAUCCCAUGAAAGAUGGAUUGUCGGUAAAAAAAAAAUUAGAAUUUUUUUUUUUUUUAGUUUUUAUUGUAAAUAAUUUUUUUUCCUUCUAGGCAAGCAGAUUAAAAAUCAUUGGGCAUCAAUCAGGGACUGGCACAUGCGGGACCUUAGGGAGGAGGAAGAGAGGCCCAGUGGAUCCGGGGCCUUUACUAAAACUCCAUGUCCACUGGCCACUCCUCGGAUUCCUACAAAAGUGCCAUGAGAUGAGGAAGCAUGUCCAAUUUUUUUUUAUUUCUUUUUUUGUUAAUAAACAAAAAAAAAAUUCUUUCAGGACACAUUCCAGUGUGAAGAAAAGUAGGGCUCAGACCCCUGGACAUGGCACCCCCCUCACCCCACCCUCCCCAGCCCCAGACAAGAUCAAGGGAAAGAACAUUCUCCCCUACCAGCUUCCUCAUUGUCCCGACCAAGUCCCCAGAGGAGCGAAGCAUCCUUUGGAGAUCUGGUCCGGCUGGUGAGGACUGGUAGGAGACAGCAUGGGAUCCUUGAAGAUCUCAUAGAGCUCACAAAGGAGAGCUUUAUGAGAUUGGAUGAUAAAGUGGAAGUCUUAAGGGGGAGGUUUGCCAGUUACGGCAGGCGGGGGCAGCAGAGCCGGUUUUAGGCUCAGCGUGGCAUUGGGCAAAAUCAAAAGUGGGGCCCCAAAAGUCGUAAUAGUGCACUAACCAUAUUUGUACAUUUUUGGUCACUUCAAAAUAGCAUAAAAAAUAUCUAAAAAGCUGUAUGUAUAUCCCCAUAUACAGGAAAAUAAAAGAGUUAUAGGGAUCAGAAAAGUACAAUUUUAUAUUUUUGUAUAGUUCCCCCACAUUAGGUUGGAAGUAUGUUCCCCCACAUUAGGUUGGCAGUAUAGUUCCCCCACAUUAGGCUGGUAGUAUGUUCCCCCACAUUGGGUUGGUAUAAGGGGUUGAUGUGUAGGAUCCAGAGAGCUGAUUUAAAGCUAGGAGUCCAUUGCAGUAUUGUGGUGCUGGUAUACACCUUGCAUAUUGGCAAUAUGGUUCCCCCACAUUAGGUAGGCAGUAUAGUUCCCCCACAUUAGGUUGUAGUUCCCCCACAUUAGGUUGGCAGUAUAGUUCCCCCCACAUUAGGUUGGCAGUAUAGUUCCCCCACAUUAGGUAGGCAGUAUAGUCCAUAGCAGUAGGUCCCGGGACUGGAGAAGUGGUGGUCGGAGCAUUGAAGAUGACAUGCAGCUGUAAACUUACCACGCUGGCCAGCGUGCGUCCUCCUCCUCAAUGCUCCAAUCCUCCGUUCCUAUGGGCGCACGCACGGGACAUCAGUGAUGUCCCUGCAUGUGCUACCUUCCGGCGGCCCCUGCGUUUUUAAAGUUAAUACAGGGCUUCCGAAAGGUUACAGGGACAUCCUUGUGUCCUGAAAAGAUCUUUCGGGACACAGGGAUGUCCCGAAUGUGACAGGGGGCCCCCUGAGGGAUUGGGGCCCUGGGUAAUUGCCCACUUUGCCCCGGCUUAAUGCCAGCCCUGGGGGGCAGGGCCAUCUACUAGUCCCCCUUCACACUCGCUACUUUAUCCCCAGAGCCUGGCUCCCAUGCUGGAGAAGCUUCCCCUUGAAAAGCAGUGUCAUUUCUGCAAGAAGGGGGUCGAGCUUCUAAGUAGACUCUGCUACCCCC